RNAcentral lists this long non-coding RNA (938 nucleotides) under Equus caballus (horse). RNAcentral's name for it is "lncRNA (ENSECAG00000059684.1)". Lineage: Eukaryota; Metazoa; Chordata; Mammalia; Perissodactyla; Equidae. The record is from RNAcentral.
GUAAUACAGCGGCAACAGUGGCCCUGCUCUGGGGUCAAGGUGACAAAUGAGACUGAGUGGGGAGCAGGGCCUUUCUCUUCUUCAAGGAACUCACUCCAGUUCAUGCAGGAAACAAAGGGUUGAUCUGGCAGCUUGAAGAUUUUCCAGGAGGCAGCAACCUUGGUAUUGAAGCCUGGUGGAAAACCAGUCUAAAGGACUCCUUAUAACAGGACAGCUAACAUCAUUCAAACCUGCUUUCUGAUUUGGAGGAAAUCCUUUACUGUGUGAAUCUCCAUGGGAUGCUGAGUCCUGCCUUCCACUAAAGAAGAUGAAGAGGAUCAGGUAUCUCUCUUGCCAGGGAGAGCUUCUGCGAUCCUGAACCUCCAAUUUCCUCUGGGAUCUAGUGUUAAUUUUUGCAGCCUUCUUGUUAUCCCGCAGUGUCUUUUGUUUUGCUUUAAGGCAGCCACCCAGGAGCAUUUAUCAAGCACUGCACAGUUUAACUGCCUAUAAAGAUGGGGCCUAGGCUAUUUACUUACCGGAUUGGUAAAAAUUGGUAAUUGGGAUAACAGUUUUCCCUUUCCAAUAGCGGGUACAGCUGGCACAUUUCUUGCCAGGUUGGAAAAUAUCAGUGAGCUGUUUAAUAUGCUUAUACUAUAUCUCUUUUAAGAGAAAUUUGAAGCUAGUGAAUGAAAAAUGGAAGCCUGCUUAGUGCUGGUAGAGCAGUUGCCACCUAGGUAGUUAACAUUUGAUAAUUAAGAGUUUGAAUUUGGCUUUAUCAAGAGUGUUUGCCUGAGUAGACUAAAGUUUAUUUUUGACUGGUUUGUUUUUUCAUCAUCACUAUGGAGCAGAAUAAAUGGCCUCAUAUUUUCAGUAGGCUGUGCACUGUUUUCUCAGGACUUUCCUUGGGAAGGAAAGCACUUUCUCUGCCUCUAUUUCUCUACUUUACCGUCAGAGACUAG